This 163-nucleotide ribosomal RNA is filed under the name uncultured bacterium. Its description in RNAcentral is "partial 16S ribosomal RNA". It matches the Rfam family "Bacterial small subunit ribosomal RNA", at positions 355 to 511 of the family's 1533-position model. The record is from RNAcentral.
UAGGGAAUCUUCCACAAUGGGCGCAAGCCUGAUGGAGCAACACCGCGUGAGUGAAGAAGGGUUUCGGCUCGUAAAGCUCUGUUAGUUAAAGAAGAACACGUAUGAGAGUAACUGUUCAUACGUUGACGGUAUUAACCAGAAGUCACGGCUAACUACGUGCUAG